GACGAACGCUGGCGGCGUGCUUAACACAUGCAAGUCGAGCGGUAAGGCCCUUUCGGGGGUACACGAGCGGCGAACGGGUGAGUAACACGUGGGUGACCUGCCUUUAGCUCUGGGAUAAGCCUGGGAAACUGGGUCUAAUACUGGAUAUGACUCCAUGACGCAUGUUGUGGGGUGGAAAGCCUUGUGCGGCUGAGGAUGGGCCCGCGGCCUAUCAGCUUGUUGGUGGGGUGAGGCCUACCAAGGCGACGACGGGUAGCCGGCCUGAGAGGGCGACCGGCCACACUGGGACUGAGACACGGCCCAGACUCCUACGGGAGGCAGCAGUGGGGAAUCUUGCGCAAUGGGCGAAAGCCCUGACGCAGCGACGCCGCGUGAGGGAUGACGGCCU
This 388-nucleotide ribosomal RNA is filed under the name uncultured bacterium. RNAcentral describes it as "bacterial SSU rRNA". It matches the Rfam family "Bacterial small subunit ribosomal RNA", at positions 28 to 417 of the family's 1533-position model. The record is from RNAcentral.